UACGUAGGGAGCGAGCGUUAUCCGGAAUUAUUGGGUGUAAAGGGUGCGUAGACGGGAAGAUAAGUUAGUUGUGAAAUCCCUCGGCUUAACUGAGGAACUGCAACUAAAACUGUUUUUCUUGAGUGCAGGAGAGGUAAGUGGAAUUCCUAGUGUAGCGGUGAAAUGCGUAGAUAUUAGGAGGAACACCAGUGGCGAAGGCGGCUUACUGGACUGUAACUGACGUUGAGGCUCGAAAGCGUGGGGAGCAAACAGG
This 253-nucleotide ribosomal RNA is filed under the name uncultured bacterium. Its description in RNAcentral is "partial 16S ribosomal RNA". It matches the Rfam family "Bacterial small subunit ribosomal RNA", at positions 524 to 776 of the family's 1533-position model. The record is from RNAcentral.